RNAcentral lists this long non-coding RNA (1173 nucleotides) under Oryctolagus cuniculus (rabbit). Its description in RNAcentral is "lncRNA (ENSOCUG00000036484.1)". The record is from RNAcentral. Lineage: Eukaryota; Metazoa; Chordata; Mammalia; Lagomorpha; Leporidae.
AUGCAAAAGUGUCACAGGAAACGGCCACGGACGGGGAAGACGGCAGACCCCGGCUUCGGUCAGGGACCCGCACCCAGAAUACUCACACCUGCCCGAAGCACACGACGCGACCUGAGCCGAGGGCAGACGCCACAGCGCAGGGUACCCGAGCAGACCCGGGACGGUCGGCUCACUCAGACACAGGCGCAGGGAAGCAGGCUCGGGCACUCAGCCCCAGGGCGACGCCGAUGGAGACCCAGCGAGUGCUGGACCCCAGCACCCAGCACCGGAGGGCCUGGUUCGAGUCCUGGCUCCACCUCCAGCUCCCUGCCCAGUGCAGCCUGGGAGGCAGCAGUGGCGCCUCCGCUGCUGGGGGCCCCACCGGCCGGGCCCGGACACCUGUCUCCACAGGUGCAGCCGAGCCCAGGCCCAGCCUCGGGGGAGGCCUGCGCGCCUUCCCAAAGAGCCAGCAGGGCCGGAUCCGCCCGCGAGCUCACCAGGGAACAGCACCCCUGGGGCAGAGACAGCCGUGCAGCAGGCGCCCCCCGCCCCCCGCGACCCCAGGGACACGACUGCGUCAACAAACCACACAGAAUUCAUGCCAGAGCCGGCCCGGAGAGCCUUCGAAGUGUGGCCUCCACAGGAAGUGACCUGAGAAGCCCCCUGCUCCCCCACGGAUCGCGCAGAGAGCUCCACUCCUGGGGCCCGGGGUCCACCCCCUUGUCCACGCAGCUUUACCGGGGGCAGCCCAAGCCUGCCAGGCGAGCCGUUCCCACGGCCACACGACGGGAGCCGGCUGCCGGCUCUGGUGCCAAGUCGCCAGGGCCAGGAGAGCCCCGUCCAGGAGUGCGGGCACAGCAGGACACGAGGGCAGAGGCGGGCCGGGGCGGCUGGAUCCUAAGAGCUCCGCGGAGGAGACUGGACCACAACCGCAGGCCGCGCGGCACAUGCUCAACGGCCCGCCCCGGCCACAGUGGUCCCUCGUGGGCCCCACCAAGACCCGCACGCCGACCUCGAGGGGAGACGCCGGACGGCAGGGCAGGGCAGGCCGCCCACGCCAGCACCUCAGCACCCUCGCCUGACCGCACGGCACCGCUCCAGCGCAGAUGCCUCCUGGGCAGGCCUGACCCCUGGGAAACGUCCUUGGUUCCUUCCAGGCACACCGCGCGCUGGCUGACCACGCGGGCUGCGUGA